CCAGCCACACUGGAACUGAGACACGGUCCAGACUCCUACGGGAGGCAGCAGUGGGGAAUAUUGCACAAUGGGCGCAAGCCUGAUGCAGCCAUGCCGCGUGUGUGAAGAAGGCCUUCGGGUUGUAAAGCACUUUCAGCGGGGAGGAAGGCGGUGAGGUUAAUAACCUCAUCGAUUGACGUUACCCGCAGAAGAAGCACCGGCUAACUCCGUGCCAGCAGCCGCGGUAAUACGGAGGGUGCAAGCGUUAAUCGGAAUUACUGGGCGUAAAGCGCACGCAGGCGGUCUGUCAAGUCGGAUGUGAAA
This 303-nucleotide ribosomal RNA is filed under the name Klebsiella pneumoniae. RNAcentral describes it as "bacterial SSU rRNA". It matches the Rfam family "Bacterial small subunit ribosomal RNA", at positions 304 to 599 of the family's 1533-position model. Lineage: Bacteria; Pseudomonadati; Pseudomonadota; Gammaproteobacteria; Enterobacterales; Enterobacteriaceae. The record is from RNAcentral.